AGAAUCAACGCUGGCGGCGUGCCUAACACAUGCAAGUCGAACGCGAAAGCCUCGCAAGGGGCCUGUAGCGUGGCAAACGGGUGAGUAACACGUGGGUGACCUGCCUUCGAGCGGGGGAUAACGUCCCGAAAGGGACGCUAAUACCGCAUGACAUCCUGCCUUUGAAGAGGUGGAGAUCAAAGCUAGGGAUCGCAAGACCUGGCACUUGAAGAGGGGCCCGCGCCUGAUUAGCUAGUUGGUGGGGUAAUGGCUCACCAAGGCAACGAUCAGUA
RNAcentral lists this ribosomal RNA (272 nucleotides) under uncultured bacterium. RNAcentral describes it as "partial small subunit ribosomal RNA". It matches the Rfam family "Bacterial small subunit ribosomal RNA", at positions 26 to 285 of the family's 1533-position model. The record is from RNAcentral.